This 860-nucleotide long non-coding RNA is filed under the name Cyanistes caeruleus (blue tit). RNAcentral's name for it is "lncRNA (ENSCCEG00000015122.1)". The record is from RNAcentral. Lineage: Eukaryota; Metazoa; Chordata; Aves; Passeriformes; Paridae.
UGUCAUUGGGCCCUUUGUGGAUGGAGAAAGGCAAAGUGCACAGGAAGCUCAAAAAUAUAUGCAGGAAAAUCAUACAGAGAGGUGAUGUAAAGACAACCAAAAUGUUCAUGUGAAAAGAUGAAGAAGACAGCAGAUCACCACAGGCAUCUGAGCAUUAGUUAGGUAAACCUAGAUUUUGGUGCAUUAUGACCUUCAAAGUAGUUCAGUGAGAAAAAAAUCAGCUAAAACAUUCUUUUGUAUACAGUGGCAGUACUGCUUCCCAAGAAUUCAGUGGGAAGACACACUGCUUUUAUUUUAAGCAAGUAGUCCAAUAUAGCUGGUAAAAAUGCAGUUUCAGGAAGAAGUGAACUAGAUUUCACACAUAAUACAGAUUGUUCUGACUUGUGUGCCCAGUGGUCUCCCAGUGGUUAAAAAUGCGUGUUAUGAAGAGCAACAAGCUUACUCUAUUCCUCCUUCUGAGAGCAGGGAGCAGCUGAUGUGAUUAAGCAGGUGAGUGAUAGAGCCACUCUUGACUAAUCUGAAGAAGAUCUGUGAGAAGAGGUAAAAUUGUGGAACUCUGAACUAGAAAAUAUAAUGGGCCCUGGAAACAAUCCUGCAUGAACAUGCUGGCUGGGAAUUAGAAGAAACAUCACAGGCUCAUCUUUCUGUCAACUAGCAAUCACAUCAUCCAGCACUGUCUGACAGAUGACUUGAUCUCACACCUGAAUGUGUCCAAGCAUCCUCUCCACCUCUCCUUCCCUGGUUUCAGGCUGCCUGUGCAGGUGAGAGCAGCCAUCCUCAGUUGUACUAAAGGUCCACUUAAGAAGGCAGCAUACUGCCCCUGUAGCCCCCUGACAAAUGCUGAGGGAGGGAGUAAAUGA